UGGGGAAUAUUGGACAAUGGGCGCAAGCCUGAUCCAGCCAUGCCGCGUGAGUGAUGAAGGCCUUAGGGUUGUAAAGCUCUUUUGUCCGGGAAGAUAAUGACUGUACCGGAAGAAUAAGCCCCGGCUAACUUCGUGCCAGCAGCCGCGGUAAUACGAAGGGGGCUAGCGUUGCUCGGAAUCACUGGGCGUAAAGGGCGCGUAGGCGGACUCUUAAGUCGGGGGUGAAAGCCCAGGGCUCAACCCUGGAAUAGCCUUCGAUACUGAGAGUCUUGAGUUCGGAAGAGGUUGGUGGAAUUGCGAGUGUAGAGGUGAAAUUCGUAGAUAUUCGCAAGAACACCAGUGGCGAAGGCGGCCAACUGGUCCGAUACUGACGCUGAGGCGCGAAAGCGUGGGGAGCAAACAGG
This 404-nucleotide ribosomal RNA is filed under the name Acidobacteriota bacterium. RNAcentral's name for it is "Acidobacteria bacterium partial 16S ribosomal RNA". It matches the Rfam family "Bacterial small subunit ribosomal RNA", at positions 355 to 776 of the family's 1533-position model. The record is from RNAcentral. Lineage: Bacteria; Pseudomonadati; Acidobacteriota.